CGAAGAACCUUACCUGGUCUUGACAUCCACGGAAGUUUUCAGAGAUGAGAAUGUGCCUUCGGGAACCGUGAGACAGGUGCUGCAUGGCUGUCGUCAGCUCGUGUUGUGAAAUGUUGGGUUAAGUCCCGCAACGAGCGCAACCCUUAUCCUUUGUUGCCAGCGAUUAGGUCGGGAACUCAAAGGAGACUGCCAGUGAUAAACUGGAGGAAGGUGGGGAUGACGUCAAGUCAUCAUGGCCCUUACGACCAGGGCUACACACGUGCUACAAUGGCGCAUACAAAGAGAAGCGACCUCGCGAGAGCAAGCGGACCUCAUAAAGUGCGUCGUAGUCCGGAUUGGAGUCUGCAACUCGACUCCAUGAAGUCGGAAUCGCUAGUAAUCGUGGAUCAGAAUGCCACGGUGAAUACGUUCCCGGGCCUUGUACACACCGCCCGUCACACCAUGGGAGUGGGUUGCAAAAGAAGUAGGUAGCUUAACCUUCGGGAGGGCGCUUACCACUUUGUGAUUCAUGACUGGGGUGAAGUCGUAACAAGGUAACCGUAGGGGAACCUGCGGUUGGAUCACCUCCUUA
Molecule: ribosomal RNA, 571 nt
Filed under: Salmonella enterica
Lineage: Bacteria; Pseudomonadati; Pseudomonadota; Gammaproteobacteria; Enterobacterales; Enterobacteriaceae
Description: bacterial SSU rRNA
Rfam family: Bacterial small subunit ribosomal RNA
Source: RNAcentral